Toxorhynchites rutilus septentrionalis is the source of this 2460-nucleotide long non-coding RNA. RefSeq lists it as uncharacterized. NCBI's taxonomy places the organism in Eukaryota, Metazoa, Arthropoda, Insecta, Diptera, Culicidae. The transcript is spliced from 5 exons. The record is from RefSeq and is a predicted model, not a curated record.
AUCAGUUUCCAAAUAAUAGCUACAAUCACAAGUUUGACAGAAUUCACUCCGCUCGCUGUUUGCAAACAUGAACUUGACACAUUGUUCUGGUCGAAAGCAGGAAUGCCAGAUUAUUUUUCUACACUGGAGACAAACAUUAGUAAAUGAAGCUACCAAAUCUUUAGUAGUUGAAACAUUGGUAAAAUGUACAAAUUUUUUGUACAUAUUACCAAAAUCCGGUAAAACUGAUGUCAGAUGUAAUGUACAUCCCUACCAGAGAUUCGUACAUUUUACUUCAUGCCAUUUGUAACCUUCAAUGUUUUCAUUCCUAGCGACUGUGAAGUGCGCACUUCGUAAUCGCCAUUUUUUUGUGGAAGCGAAGCAAUUCGGAGAUAUUCCGAAAUAUACUCAUUUUGGACAACGUUUCUUCUAUUCUACUACUGAUAGAAGCAUUUCCAUUUGCGAUCAAUCGUAAACGAACAUUUUACAACAGCCAUGAUUCGAUGCUAAUAUUUGGCGAUACAAACUAGGGAAAGGAAGAACCAAUAACGAUUCACCAUCGGUCCGUGCAAACGGUAUCAAAUGAGCGUAUCUUUUCGUCGACCAACGGCAGCGACCAGCGAAUCAACAAGUGCAGCUGAUUCCAGCACGAAUAGCUCUUCUGUUUCUUCACUGGAGCAUCGAAAAUCCCUAUCAGGCUCAGGUGCAGGCAAGAAUCAAUGAAGGAGGAGCAAGCUACGCUACCGCAAGUAUAGUCAUUUGCUCAUAAAAUUUACAAGAUGUAUCGAAACUCUCCAGGAAAAGUGUCGUCAUUCGUUUUUUCUACAAACUGAUAACCUCUGCGUGAUAAUGAUGUGUCAGGAAGAUCCAAUCAACUGCUUUUCUCAACCGGAGGAUGACAUGGAACAUGAAGAACGUCAGAACCGACUACGUGCUCUGUGCAAUCAUCAGGAUCUGUUCCAGGGGGAGAGUGUUGAAUUUGAUACUGGAAAGCAUCGACAAAAUCAAUGUCAUAUCGUCACUAGGUUUCAUGAUUUCCUCCUGGCUAGUGAUGAAAAAGUUGGGAGUCGAUAUCCGGAUAUCUGUUCCAACUACUAGCGGUUGUCAUCAAGGAAAACUCAGUUUGCUAACUCAAAUCAUUUUAAUUGGAUGAUUUUGUAUGUGUUUUGUUCACUGUGCGUUGGUAAUGGUCGGUAUGGUUGGUUGGUCGGUAAUCCUAAUAUCCUCGUUCAUCGUGUUGAGGAAUCUAGGGUGUACCAGAAAUGUUACUUUGAAAUUACUAUGGACCAUAACGGACAAACGUGCACAAACAUGACACCGCGUUUGCGAAUUAAUUGGGCCAAUACUGCUGAAUAUGUUGAGGAUGUAAAAAUGGGGCGAAAAUGACGUUGGUAAUAAUUUGCAUACUCAUGAUUCCGGACGUGACAAAACUAUUCAUCGCAAAAGGAAUGGAAUUGCACGCUAGAUCUCAGCGUCUCGGUGAUACGGUUUAUGUUCAAUGGAGAGCCAAUGCAUGUUUUCAUGUUUCUUUGUUUUUAAGAGGCUUUAAACUUUGCAGUUCAUUCGCCUCCAUAAACCCAAUGCAUGUUUGAUUUUAAUCUAACUUGAAUGUUUUUUUUUUCGUUGAUGAGCUGCUCGUCGAAGCUAAGUUGUCAAUUUUAUUUUGGUUUCCGCGUUUCUGUCUGCGAUGUUGAACCCUAAGAUGGAAGAAUUCGGCGAUAUGCUGGUCGAGAGCACUCACAACUUGUGAGGCAAAGAGCGAAUUCAACAAAGUUAAACAAAGACAACGGAAACCAUCAUGGCUCCCAUUCAGUUCCGUACAGCAUAUACGGCUAUGGCGACUAUCAGAAAGCUGUUGAUCUAUGGAUACAAUUCGGACCAACAAACUGGUGAGACGAAUGAGCCCCUUGCGGCGGAAGCAUUCAGACAGAACUUCGCAACCAUCAGAACGCACCUAGCGGAGAAGACGUAUGCUGUUAUGUCAAGAUAGACAUACUUUUAGUUUGAGGUACGGACUGUGGGACUGAUGAGGCAGGACUGCAAUUCCGAAACGAUGUUGGGGAAUGAUGAUCCAUCGUGUGCUUUUGAUGGCUACAAUAUAAGCAUGAGCACAAAUAUCGAAUCCGAUUGUUCAAUACGACCAAUCACGACCCCUCAAUCCAAUGUAGUCGUUCUGUUACAAGAAAACAAGCCCCAAAUUCCUACUGAAGACACAUUUCCACUGCCUCAUUAAAUGGGCAAGUAAACUACACCUGCGCAGGGUCGAAGAUUUCGGUAGGCGAUACCUGGUCGGAAACGUAAUCGUUUUCUUCUUAAAUAUCCUCGACAAGAUCAGCACGAGAGGAAUAAAUACGAACUAAGAGUACUGGGUACUGGUGUCAUCGACUUCCUGCUAAUCAGCGCCCCAUUCUCUAGAGACAGCGAUGCAGUAGAAGGAGUUAUUGCGACGAGAAUUAUUGUUGUUUUCAUAUUUUCUUUUUU